CCUACGGGAGACAGCAGUGAGGAAUAUUGGUCAAUGGGCGCGAGCCUGAACCAGCCAAGUAGCGUGAAGGAUGACUGUCCUACGGGUUGUAAACUCCUUUUAUAAAGGAAUAAAGUGAGGCACGUGUGCCUUUUUGUAUGUAUUUUAUGAACAAGGAUCGGCUAACUCCGUGCCAGCAGCCGCGGUAAUACGGAGGAUCCGCGCGUUAUCCGGAUUUAUUGGGUUUAAAGGGAGCGUAGAUGGGUUGUUAAGUCAGUUGUGAAAGUUUGGGGCUCAACCGGAAAAUUGCCAUUGAUACUGGCAGCCUUGAGUACAGGUGAGGUAGGCGGAAUUCGUGGUGUAGCGGUGAAAUGCUUAGAUAUCACGAAGAACACCAAUUGCGAAGGCGGCCUACUAAACUGCCACUGACAUUGAUGCUCGAAAGUGUGGGUAUCAAACAGGAUUAGAUACCCUUGUAGUC
This 460-nucleotide ribosomal RNA is filed under the name uncultured bacterium. RNAcentral describes it as "partial 16S ribosomal RNA". It matches the Rfam family "Bacterial small subunit ribosomal RNA", at positions 338 to 795 of the family's 1533-position model. The record is from RNAcentral.